RNAcentral lists this unclassified non-coding RNA (4915 nucleotides) under Leishmania donovani. Its description in RNAcentral is "gene:LdHU3.13.1790(CDS-product:hypothetical_prote in_conserved)". The record is from RNAcentral. Lineage: Eukaryota; Euglenozoa; Kinetoplastea; Trypanosomatida; Trypanosomatidae.
CAACAAAAACGGCGAAAAAAACAAAGCUGAAGGAGGCGUAGCCACGAAGGGGCAACGCCUCCUCCAUCGCCCCCACCCCCUUUUUUCCGUCCAUAUCUCUCCUCCGUCUCUCCCUCCACUCUCGACCUUCUCGCUCGAAGAAACGAACACGCACGCACGCACACACACACCUAUACGUUGCGAUGGAGCAGUCGUCUUCGCCGCCCGCGUCUCCAUCGCCGUCACCGGUUGUGCUGCCGACGUGGCGCGUUGGCCACGCCGUCACUUCAUCGUCGCGGUGUUGCACAGCGUUCCGUGGCCGCUAUGUCGUGUACGCCGCCACCGACAACAGCAUCGCCCUUGUCGACGUGCUUGCGGAGCAUCCGAGUAGUCUUUCUGCGGAGGCGCGCUGGCGAUAUGCCAUGCGCCUGCGCGUCCUCGCCUCGCCGGACGAGCGCAUCAGCUUUGUCGUCGGCCACCCUGAGAAAGACCUCCUGUGCGUCGGCACGGCCCACCACGGCCUCUACCUCACCUCUCUCACGAAUCCCGCGCUGACGGAGGCAACGAAGUUGCCGCGCACCGUGACCGGCGACUGCACUUACGGCGCCACGUUCCUUUUCACAGAGGAGGCGAACUACCUGGCGUUCUCGUCGCUGCUGCACAGCCGACCGCUCGACCAAACGCCGCACCGGCUUUCGCUCUGGAGUAUCGACACUAAGGCGUUGCUGUGGCGUGGCGCCAUGGGGCCUCUUCAGAGCAUGUGCAGUCUCGCCUUCGACCUUUCCUUUGCUGCCUGCAGCGCCGGCAAAAUUGGCUUGUUCAGCGUGCAAUACACGGCCCCUGCUGCGACUGGCGGUGCAGAGGCACCGGCUGAUGGCCAGGCGCCCAAGCACAGAGAACGCAACCGCCUAAUGGUGCUGAGCCGCCACUGCAGCACCGUGGAGGAGCUGUGCGACGUUGAGUAUACGUGCUGUAUGGCGAGCCCGGUGGAGGGCGAGGAGACCUACCUGGCGCUGGCAAGCAGCGGCUUUCUCGUUGCCUUCAACGGCUCCACCGGAUCAGUGGUGCGGUGGAUGGACUGCAAGGUGUCAUCCGCCACGGCGCUGUGUUGCGUUGGCAAGGAGAGCCUCAUGCUGACCGGCUCCAUCACGCGCCUCUUCCAGGCCGAGACGUGGGAGUUUCAGGGCAAGGUGAAGUGGCAAGACGUGCUCGGCGCCGCCACUUCUACCAGCAGCGAUGAUGCCGGUGCGACGAAGGAAGGGCACGAGGACUCGGUUGUUGCUGCGAGCGGUGCGCAUGUCUUCACAAAUGGUGCCAGUGCAGGGAAUGGCGUGCUGGUCCUCUUCCACGAAGGCGGCGCGUUUUCCCUCUACUCGAUGGAGCCGAAGACGGGCACGCAGCGGAUGAGCUUGCGCCGCGCAUCUGUCUUCACGCCGCCCAUCUUGGUGCCUGCAGCGCCGGCGGAGAUCUGGCCCAUGAACUCAGCAUUGUGGUGCUGGUGGACCCCGCAGGCGCUCAUGUUUGUCUCUCCCCCCGGCUGCACACUUGUCACCGCUUUCGGCAACCAGUCCACUUGCGCGACGCUGCACCCUGCCGCUGGUGUGGUGGUGCUGUUCGACACGGCGCGCCACGCUCUCGUCGCUUACGGUCGUGCACCGGGAACACCAGCCGAGCUGGGCAGUGCAGCGACGAACGCGGACGAAAACAUCGUCAGCCUUGCCAGCUCUCCCACCGGCGAUGUCGUGUAUGCGCUGACUACGUCGUCAGCGGCAGCAGCGGCGAGCUGGCCCUCGGGGCUGCAGCUUCGUCGCUACCGGUGCUGCUGGGCGCAGACGCCGAAGGGUGGCAGCGGCGUUGGCAGCCGUGCUCUCCAGCUGGAGAGGAUCAAGAUCAGCGGCUCUGCCUCGGUGCCUGCUGGCACGCAUGCUUUAGUUGUGUAUAGCGGCGGCGAUGUGGACACCUCGGGGCCUGAGUCCACAGCGACUGAUGCGGACCGAGUCGUGGCGGUGCAGCGCGCAUCCAUUACCGCGCUCGGCAACAGCGUGGAAGCGGGCGAUCACGCAUCUGCCCCGCCUACUUACACGCAUGCAGAUGCCAUUCAGCACGUGGUGCCGUGCCAGGGUGGCCUGAUCGUGGCUGGUGCGGUCACUUCCGCGUAUGUGCAGGCCAAGGGUGCAUCGCGAUGGGUUGUGAAGUCGCUCGCAGAGCCACCGGCUACACAGGCGGUUGAAAAGGAAAGUGGUGCCAACGUGUGCGUAGUGGCCACCGUGGUGAUGCACCGGCCAGAUAUCGUGGUGGUCUGCCGCGGGUCGCGCCUCUCGGCGUGGCAGCUGAACGGCGACAAUCCCCUACUGAUCGCCACGCGGGCUAUUUCGACUUUGGUGCGUGCCAUAUGCAGCGCCGAGGACAAGGAAAACUCGGAGCUGCUUGUGUGGACGCUCGGCUCUGGCUGUUUCGACCUCUACAAGCUUGGACCACUGCAUCGGGCUGCAGCCCUUCACAACGAUGCGGAGAAGCUGCUUCCACCCCCUAAAGAAGUAGCGAAGAAGAGCAGCGCAGCUCCCUCGUCGUCGACAGCUCCACCCCCUGCGCCAUCAGCAGCACAGGCCUCUAACGCAGCACAGCGGCGCCCCGCCCGCACCCCCCUCGCUCCCGCCGUGAAGGCAAGAGGCGUGUCUAAGGCAGUGUCGGAGGCCCGCAGGCAGCGCCGCACCGCCUCCGCAAGCGCCCCGUCCAGCCGCGAACUCAGUGACCGCUUUGACGAGCUGACAGGCUUCUACGCACGUCAGAAGCGCGACAGCCAGGCAGGCGAGCACGCACGCACCCCUCGCUCGGCGGGCCCCUCUCGGCACCCCCACCCCUCCAUCAUCGUAGCCGCAGAGGCGAGUGUGCCCUCCUCACAAGACGACAGUGUGCCGGCGCUGUCGCGCACGCCUCGUGACCGCCAAAAAACCGAGACACCGGCGGACCCGCCGGCCACCGCGAACUUGGCUGCCUCGGCGGUUGAUGUGUCGGAGCUGACGGUGGACUCUCAGGUGCUCCGCGCCGGCGUGGCGGCUGCGGCUGACGCAGGCGUCAGUGGGGAGCUUUGCGUAGAAGAUGCGAACGAAGGUUCGAGGAACGGAAGCGUGUCGGCAUCUCCAAAGAGAACGGGUGCUGGCGAGCCUGCCGCAUGCCCCGAUAGCCCGCCGCAGCGACGGAACGCACAGCGCGGUUCUUCACGGCUGCUGUCGGAUGCGGAGGAUGCCGUCAUCCGGAGCUCCACCAGCAGCCGUGGUGCAAAGCCUUCCUUCCUCCCUUUAUACUUGAAGCACGAAGAGCGGCUGGCGGUGGCUGCGAAGCCGCACCGUGGCCCGAAUGGCAGCAGCAGCUCCACGAUGACGACGGAGCAGUUCACUGUGCACGCUCGCCACCUUCGGGAAUCUCUGCUGCACCUAAAGGAGUUGCUGGAGCAUAGCGACCUGCCGGACUCCGCGAGCAACGCGUCCUUUUCAGCGACUGAGGAAGCGGAGCUCGACGAACUCCCCGACCUCCUCACGACAGUCGCGGCACAGCUGCAGCUGCGCCAGGUCCGGCGAUCAGGCGAGAGUGCGCAUGCGAACGCUAGCAGGGCAUCCUCUGCCGUUGGUGAACAGAAGCCCACGCCUGACGCUUACGCGGCGGUGGCGGCUGAGCUUGCCCGCAUACAGGCGCAGAACGCGAGGCUGGAGGAGCAGAACCGCAUUAUCCUCACCCAACUGCGCGGCGGGUCGCACUAAGUAGGCAACAGCGACGCACACACACACACACACACACACACACACACACACGCUUGAUAUGGGGCUACCUUCUCAACUCCCUCCACCCAGCCUCUCACUGCGCGACACUGCUGGCGUUUGCCUUCCCUUACGGCGUGCAUGCCCUUGGCUACUGUGGUGCGAAGGUGCCUCGCCCUGUCCUGGUGCGUGCGUGCCCGCGCUUUUAGUUUCUUGAUCGUCUUUCCUUCUUUUGCUGGUCAAGUCUUGCGAGAUCUCGCGCACGUGUGUGUGUGUGUGCGCAUGCGUGUGCUUCCCGCUCUCGCUCCUUAUUGUAUGCCUGAGUCUGUCUGUCUCAGGUCGUCGAUCUCGUAAUGCGUGAGUGUAUCGUUGUUUUCAUCAGCACCUUUUCUUUCUGUGUUGCGCGCACCAUCCUCCCAUCGCCUCGACCCCGCACCGCACUCUCAUGCCUCAUCUGCCAUCUCCCAAAGGUCGACUUGCUUGCUUCUAUUCCUUUAUCUCUUGACUUUCUUUUCCCGAUGGCCAGGGGAGGGCACGCACCCUCUGCGCGGUUGUAUCACGGGCCUCGCUGCACACGCACACCACCCACUCUUUGUGUGUGUGUGUGUGUGGGUGGGAAGCCAAAGCAGCCGUCUCUCCCACCCCCCCCCCCUCUAUCCCCCUGCCCCUGCCGAACCACUUCGGGUGGUGACGGGGGUUCCCGUGCCCACGACGCAGAGAGGCCAGAGCGACCUGCGACAGCGCACACGCUUGUGUCAUCCAUGUGAUGGGCGAAGCUUCCGCGUGACUCGAGCGCAUCCCGCCCGACGCUCACUGCCUACUGGUGUGUGUGCGUGGGGUGGGUGGGUGGGGGCCUGGGACACCCCCGAGGGACGCAGCAGGUGGCGACCGGCAGAGAGGGUCUGCGUAGAGUGUGAGGCGGCGGCCGUGCUCAGCUGACUGAGUCGGCGCACUGCUGUGCCGGCGUGUGUCUGCUGCUGCCUCUGCGCACGGCGCGGAUGUGUGGGGCGGGGGUGCAGUGUGGCGUGUGACCGGUGCUGUAUGGCCGAGAACGAAUGCACACGCGUUGAAACGGACUAACCAUUUUUUUUCUCGCGCAUCGGUCAGCAUCGUUUGGCGUCUUCCAUCAGCAGUGCUUUGCCAUCGGGGACUGCGCUACAACGGCGAAGGGCGAUCCAGUG